UGCGUUUUAGUUUAGUCGGUUAGGUUUCUUGGCUCUCACCCAAGUGACCCGGGUUCGAUUCCGGCGACGCAA
This 72-nucleotide transfer RNA is filed under the name Nicotiana sylvestris (wood tobacco). It matches the Rfam family "tRNA". From Rfam's summary of the family: Transfer RNA (tRNA) molecules are approximately 80 nucleotides in length. Their secondary structure includes four short double-helical elements and three loops (D, anti-codon, and T loops). The record is from Rfam by way of RNAcentral. Lineage: Eukaryota; Viridiplantae; Streptophyta; Magnoliopsida; Solanales; Solanaceae.